AUUGAACGCUGGCGGCAGGCCUAACACAUGCAAGUCGAACGAGUGGCGGACGGGUGAGUAAUGUCUGGGAAACUGCCUGAUGGAGGGGGAUAACUACUGGAAACGGUAGCUAAUACCGCAUACCAUCGGAUGUGCCCCGAUGGGAUUAGCUAGUAGGUGGGGUAAAGGCUCACCUAGGCGACGAUCCCUAGCUGGUCUUAGAGGAUGACCAGCCACACUGGAACUUAGACACGGUCCAGACUCCUACGGGAGGCAGCAGUGGGGAAUAUUGCACAAUGGGCGCAAGCCUGAUGCAGCCAUGCCGCGUGUAUGAAGAAGGCCUUCGGGUUGUAAAGUACUUUCAGCGGGGAGGCGGUACCGACAGAAGAAGCACCGGCUAACUCCGUGCCAGCAGCCGCGGUAAUAC
Molecule: ribosomal RNA, 406 nt
Filed under: uncultured bacterium
Lineage: Bacteria
Description: partial 16S ribosomal RNA
Rfam family: Bacterial small subunit ribosomal RNA
Source: RNAcentral